UAGGGAAUAUUGGACAAUGGGGGCAACCCUGAUCCAGCCAUGCCGCGUGAGUGAAGAAGGCCCUCGGGUUGUAAAGCUCUUUUGUCCGGAAAGAAAAGCAUUCGGUGAAUACCCGGAUGUUCUGACGGUACCGGAAGAAUAAGCACCGGCUAACUUCGUGCCAGCAGCCGCGGUAAUACGAAGGGUGCAAGCGUUACUCGGAAUUACUGGGCGUAAAGCGUGCGUAGGUGGUUGUUUAAGUCUGAUGUGAAAGCCCUGGGCUCAACCUGGGAAUGGCAUUGGAAACUGGGCAGCUAGAGUGCGGUAGAGGGUAGUGGAAUUCCCGGUGUAGCAGUGAAAUGCGUAGAGAUCGGGAGGAACAUCUGUGGCGAAGGCGGCCAUCUGGACCAGUACUGACGCUGAGGCACGAAAGCGUGGGGAGCAAACA
Molecule: ribosomal RNA, 427 nt
Filed under: uncultured bacterium
Lineage: Bacteria
Description: bacterial SSU rRNA
Rfam family: Bacterial small subunit ribosomal RNA
Source: RNAcentral